Molecule: ribosomal RNA, 468 nt
Filed under: uncultured bacterium
Lineage: Bacteria
Description: partial 16S ribosomal RNA
Rfam family: Bacterial small subunit ribosomal RNA
Source: RNAcentral
GAUGAACGCUGGCGGCGUGCUUAACACAUGCAAGUCGAACGGAAAGGCCAGUGCUUGCACUGGUACUCGAGUGGCGAACGGGUGAGUAACACGUGGGUGAUCUGCCCUGUACUUCGGGAUAAGCUUGGGAAACUGGGUCUAAUACCGGAUAGGACAACUUUUUGGAUAUUGUUGUGGAAAGCUUUUGCGGUAUGGGAUGAGCUCGCGGCCUAUCAGCUUGUUGGUGGGGUAAUGGCCUACCAAGGCGUCGACGGGUAGCCGGCCUGAGAGGGUGUACGGCCACAUUGAGACUGAGAUACGGCCCAGACUCCUACGGGAGGCAGCAGUGGGGAAUAUUGCACAAUGGGCGCAAGCCUGAUGCAGCGACGCCGCGUGGGGGAUGAAGGCCUUCGGGUUGUAAACUCCUUUCGCUAGGGACGAAGCUUUUUUGUGACGGUACCUGGAGAAGAAGCACCGGCUAACUACGUG